UGGGGAAUCUUCCGCAAUGGACGAAAGUCUGACGGAGCAACGCCGCGUGAGUGAAGACGGCCUUCGGGUUGUAAAGCUCUGUGAUCCGGGACGAAAGAGCCUGAGGUGAAUAGCCUAAGGAAGUGACGGUACCGGAAAAGCAAGCCACGGCUAACUACGUGCCAGCAGCCGCGGUAAUACGUAGGUGGCAAGCGUUGUCCGGAAUUAUUGGGCGUAAAGCGCGCGCAGGCGGCUUCCUAAGUCCAUCUUAAAAGUGCGGGGCUUAACCCCUUGAUGGGAUGGAAACUGGGAAGCUGGAGUAUCGGAGAGGAAAGUGGAAUUCCUAGUGUAGCGGUGAAAUGCGUAGAGAUUAGGAAGAACACCGGUGGCGAAGGCGACUUUCUGGACGAAAACUGACGCUGUGGCGCGAAAGCGUGGGGAGCAAACAGG
RNAcentral lists this ribosomal RNA (429 nucleotides) under Fusobacteriota bacterium. RNAcentral describes it as "Fusobacteria bacterium partial 16S ribosomal RNA". It matches the Rfam family "Bacterial small subunit ribosomal RNA", at positions 355 to 776 of the family's 1533-position model. The record is from RNAcentral. Lineage: Bacteria; Fusobacteriati; Fusobacteriota.